GCAGCUGUAGCUCAGUUGGCUAGAGUGUUCGCCUGAUAAGCGAAAGGUCAGAGGUUCGAUCCCUCUCAGCUGUGCCA
This 77-nucleotide transfer RNA is filed under the name bioreactor metagenome. RNAcentral describes it as "tRNA-Ile". It matches the Rfam family "tRNA". From Rfam's summary of the family: Transfer RNA (tRNA) molecules are approximately 80 nucleotides in length. The record is from RNAcentral.